GUGCCAGCAGCCGCGGUAAGACAGAGGCCUCGAGCGUUAGGCGGAAUCACUGGGCUUAAAGCGUGUGUAGGCGGAUCGUUAAGUACCUUGUGAAAUCCCACGGCUCAACCGUGGAACGGCUGGGUAUACUGGCGGUCUUGGGCCAUUCAGGGGCGACUGGAACAAGCGGUGGAGCGGUGAAAUGCGUAGAUAUCGCUUGGAACGCCGAAGGUGAAAACAGGUCGCUGGGGAUGUGCCGACGCUGAGACACGAAAGCCAGGGGAGCAAACGGGAUUAGAAACCCUCGUAGUCC
This 292-nucleotide ribosomal RNA is filed under the name uncultured bacterium. RNAcentral describes it as "partial 16S ribosomal RNA". It matches the Rfam family "Bacterial small subunit ribosomal RNA", at positions 505 to 796 of the family's 1533-position model. The record is from RNAcentral.